GCCUACGGGGCGCAGCAGUGAGGAAUAUUGGUCAAUGGGCUUACGCCUGAACCAGCCAAGUCGCGUGAGGGAAGACUGCCCUAUGGGUUGUAAACCUCUUUUGUCAGGGAGCAACGCCGGCUACGUGUAGCCGGACUGAGAGUACCUGAAGAAAAAGCAUCGGCUAACUCCGUGCCAGCAGCCGCGGUAAUACGGAGGAUGCGAGCGUUAUCCGGAUUUAUUGGGUUUAAAGGGUGCGUAGGCGGAAUGCCAAGUCAGCGGUAAAAUCGCGGGGCUCAACCUCCAUCCGCCGUUGAAACUGGCGU
Molecule: ribosomal RNA, 305 nt
Filed under: uncultured bacterium
Lineage: Bacteria
Description: bacterial SSU rRNA
Rfam family: Bacterial small subunit ribosomal RNA
Source: RNAcentral